UAAUACGGAGGGUGCAAGCGUUAAUCGGAAUUACUGGGCGUAAAGCGCGCGUAGGCGGUUUAGUCAGUCAGAUGUGAAAGCCCCGGGCUCAACCUGGGAACUGCAUUUGAUACUGCUAAGCUAGAGUAUGGUAGAGGCAAGUGGAAUUCCAGGUGUAGCAGUGAAAUGCGUAGAUAUCUGGAGGAACAUCAGUGGCGAAGGCGACUUGCUGGACCAAUACUGACGCUGAGGUGCGAAAGCGUGGAUAGCAAACAGGAUUAGAUACCCUGGUAGUCCACGCUGUAAACGAUGUCAACUAGCCGUUGGGACCAUUUAAGGUUUUAGUGGCGCAGCUAACGCGAUAAGUUGACCGCCUGGGGAGUACGGCCGCAAGGUUA
RNAcentral lists this ribosomal RNA (377 nucleotides) under uncultured Gammaproteobacteria bacterium. RNAcentral describes it as "bacterial SSU rRNA". It matches the Rfam family "Bacterial small subunit ribosomal RNA", at positions 521 to 896 of the family's 1533-position model. Lineage: Bacteria; Pseudomonadati; Pseudomonadota; Gammaproteobacteria. The record is from RNAcentral.